RNAcentral lists this ribosomal RNA (292 nucleotides) under uncultured bacterium. RNAcentral's name for it is "partial 16S ribosomal RNA". It matches the Rfam family "Bacterial small subunit ribosomal RNA", at positions 505 to 796 of the family's 1533-position model. The record is from RNAcentral.
GUGUCAGCAGCCGCGGUAAUACGUAGGGUGCGAGCGUUAAUCGGAAUUACUGGGCGUAAAGCGUGCGCAGGCGGCUAUACAAGACAGGCGUGAAAUCCCCGGGCUUAACCUGGGAACUGCGUUUGUGACUGUAUGGCUAGAGUACGGCAGAGGGGGGUGGAAUUCCACGUGUAGCAGUGAAAUGCGUAGAGAUGUGGAGGAACACCGAUGGCGAAGGCAGCCCCCUGGGCCAGUACUGACGCUCAUGCACGAAAGCGUGGGGAGCAAACAGGAUUAGAUACCCGCGUAGUCC